CAGUCCUACCGGCGGAUAAUCAGCCUUUCGGGUGCGAUUCUGUGGGGCGUGAGGAGUUUAACCGCCUUCACGUUUUGCAUAUUCGUGCACAUUUGGUGUACUUGUCCGUGUGGUGGGUUAACAUCAAUUUCGGUCGUCAUAAAAUGAUUGGAGGAAUGUAGCUUUGAUCUCGUAUCGAAGUUGUUAUAGACUUCUGGUAAUGUGACGAUUGGGGAUU
RNAcentral lists this ribosomal RNA (217 nucleotides) under Rhizophagus intraradices. Lineage: Eukaryota; Fungi; Glomeromycota; Glomeromycetes; Glomerales; Glomeraceae. The record is from RNAcentral.